RNAcentral lists this ribosomal RNA (207 nucleotides) under uncultured bacterium. RNAcentral describes it as "partial 16S ribosomal RNA". It matches the Rfam family "Bacterial small subunit ribosomal RNA", at positions 568 to 774 of the family's 1533-position model. The record is from RNAcentral.
CGUGUAGGCGGCCUGAUAAGUCUGGAGUGAAAGUCCACUUUUCAAGGGUGGAAUUGCUUUGGAUACUGUUAGGCUUGAGUGCGGAAGAGGUAAGUGGAAUUCCCAGUGUAGCGGUGAAAUGCGUAGAGAUUGGGAGGAACACCAGUGGCGAAGGCGACUUACUGGGCCGUAACUGACGCUGAGGCGCGAAAGCGUGGGGAGCGAACA